Molecule: ribosomal RNA, 1028 nt
Filed under: Pyxidicoccus fallax
Lineage: Bacteria; Pseudomonadati; Myxococcota; Myxococcia; Myxococcales; Myxococcaceae
Description: bacterial SSU rRNA
Rfam family: Bacterial small subunit ribosomal RNA
Source: RNAcentral
UAGAGUUUUGUUCAUGGCUCAGAACGAACGCUGGCGGCGUGCCUAACACAUGCAAGUCGAGCGCGAAUAGGGGCAACCCUUAGUAGAGCGGCGCACGGGUGCGUAACACGUGGAUAAUCUGCCUGGAUGCCCGGGAUAACCAGUCGAAAGAUUGGCUAAUACCGGAUAAGCCCACGGCCUCUUCGGAGACUGAGGGAAAAGGUGGCCUCUGUAUACAAGCUAUCACAACCAGAUGAGUCCGCGGCCCAUCAGCUAGUUGGCGGGGUAAUGGCCCACCAAGGCGACGACGGGUAGCUGGUCUGAGAGGACGAUCAGCCACACUGGAACUGAGACACGGUCCAGACUCCUACGGGAGGCAGCAGUGGGGAAUUUUGCGCAAUGGGCGAAAGCCUGACGCAGCAACGCCGCGUGUGUGAUGAAGGUCUUCGGAUUGUAAAGCACUUUCGACCGGGACGAAAACCCGUAGCCCAACACGCUACGGCUUGACGGUACCGGGAGAAGAAGCACCGGCUAACUCUGUGCCAGCAGCCGCGGUAAUACAGAGGGUGCAAGCGUUGUUCGGAAUUAUUGGGCGUAAAGCGCGUGUAGGCGGCGUGACAAGUCGGGUGUGAAAGCCCUCAGCUCAACUGAGGAAGUGCGCCCGAAACUGUCGUGCUUGAGUGCCGGAGAGGGUGGCGGAAUUCCCCAAGUAGAGGUGAAAUUCGUAGAUAUGGGGAGGAACACCGGUGGCGAAGGCGGCCACCUGGACGGUAACUGACGCUGAGACGCGAAAGCGUGGGGAGCAAACAGGAUUACAUACCCUGGUAGUCCACGCCGUAUACGAUGAGAACUAGGUGUCGUGCGACUUGACCCCCGCGGUGCCGACGCUAACGCAUUAAGUUCUCCGCCUGGUAAGUACGGUCGCAAGACUAAAACUCAAAGGAAUUGACGGGGGCCCGCACAAGCGGUGGACCAUGUCGGUUUAAUUUCGACGGCAACGCGCACAACCCUACCUGGGUCUUGACAUCCUUGGAAUCCCUCAGAGAUGA